UUUCGCAAUGCCCGAAAGGGUGACGAAGCGACGCCGCGUGGGUGAGGAAGGCCUUCGGGUUGUAAAGCCCUGUCAGGAGUUAUGAAAUGUAAGUGCGCUAAUAUCGUGCUUAUUUGACAAAGGCUCCAAAGGAAGCCACGGCUAACUCUGUGCCAGCAGCCGCGGUAAUACAGAGGUGGCGAGCGUUGUUCGGAAUUAUUGGGCGUAAAGAGCACGUAGGUGGGUUUGCAAGUCAGAUGUGAAAGCCUUCUGUUCAACGGAAGAAUUGCAUCUGAAACUGCUAAUCUUGAGUAUAGGAGGGGAGAAUGGAACUUCUGGUGGAGCGGUGAAAUGCGUAGAUAUCAGAAGGAACGCCGGCGGCGAAAGCGAUUCUCUGGCCUAUUACUGACACUCAGUGUGCGAAAGCUAGGGGAGCAAACGGGAUUAGAUACCCCGGUAGUCCUAGCCGUAAACGAUGGGCACUAAGUAGAGGGGUUUUA
This 479-nucleotide ribosomal RNA is filed under the name uncultured anaerobic ammonium-oxidizing bacterium. RNAcentral's name for it is "bacterial SSU rRNA". It matches the Rfam family "Bacterial small subunit ribosomal RNA", at positions 364 to 833 of the family's 1533-position model. The record is from RNAcentral.